RNAcentral lists this ribosomal RNA (480 nucleotides) under Blastocystis hominis. Its description in RNAcentral is "SSU rRNA". It matches the Rfam family "Eukaryotic small subunit ribosomal RNA", at positions 460 to 953 of the family's 1831-position model. The record is from RNAcentral. Lineage: Eukaryota; Bigyra; Opalinata; Blastocystidae. RNAcentral also lists the same sequence under 1 other name.
GGAGGUAGUGACAAUAAAUCACAAUGCGGGACUAUCAGUCUUGCAAUUGGAUUGAGAACAAUGUACAACUCUUAUCGAUAAGCCAUUGGAGGGCAAGUCUGGUGCCAGCAGCCGCGGUAAUUCCAGCUCCAAUAGCGUAUAUUAACGUUGUUGCAGUUAAAAAGCUCGUAGUUGAAGUGUGGGUGAUCGCUGUUGUGAGACUUCGGUCUCUCGACAGUAAGUCACCCCCUUCCAGUAUCCAGUAGUGGGUAUUCACUUACUUACUACUGUGUGUUGGUCGUUUACUGUGAGAAAAUUAGAGUGUUCAAAGCAGGCGUUUGCUUGAAUAGAUUAGCAUGGAAUAAUAAUUGAAGGCUUUCGUGUUCGAUUUGAUUGGUUUGUUCAUGGAAGCAAGGUUAAAAGGAACAGUUGGGGGUAUUCAUAUUCACUAGUUAGAGGUGAAAUUCUCGGAUUUAUGGAAGAUGAACAAGUGCGAAAGCA